GACGAACGCUGGCGGCGUGCUUAACACAUGCAAGUCGAACGGAAAGGCCCUGCUUUUGUGGGGUGCUCGAGUGGCGAACGGGUGAGUAACACGGGAGUAACCUGCCCUUGACGUUGGGAUAACUUCAGGAAACUGGGGCUAAUACCGGAUAGGAGCUCCUGCGGCAUGGUGGGGGUUGGAAAGUUUCGGCGGUUGGGGGUGGACUCCCGGCUUAUCAGCGUGUGGGUGGGGUAGUGGCGUGCCAAGGCUUUGACGGGUAGCCGGCCGGAGAGGGUGCCCGGCCACACUGGGCCUUAGCUACGGCCCCGACCCCUACGCGAGGCAGCAGUGCGGACUCUUGCACAAUGCGCGGAAGCCCGAUGCAGCCACGCCGCGUGCGGGAUGACGGCCUUCGGGUUGUCAACCGCUUUCGCCUGUGCCGAAGCGUGAGUGACGGUAAUGGGUAAAGAAGCACCGGCUAACUACGUG
This 468-nucleotide ribosomal RNA is filed under the name uncultured bacterium. RNAcentral describes it as "partial 16S ribosomal RNA". It matches the Rfam family "Bacterial small subunit ribosomal RNA", at positions 28 to 507 of the family's 1533-position model. The record is from RNAcentral.